CCCAAAUAUAAGACUAAACAGAAACUCAAAAAAUCAAUGGCAAAUGAAUUUACUGGCUUCCAAGGAUAAGUAACAGGGGGGAAAUAUAAUAUUUGACUCAAUUGAACUAAUUUUUUAUCUCAAAGUUGGGGUUCAACUGCAUGACUCCUUUGCCUCUCUUCCAACCAGUCUUGAGUCAUAUUCUUAGUAAGAUGUUUACAAAUCAAAACAUUUCUUGCAACUUUCGUGCAGAUCAUUUUCAGCACACAUCCCAGAAUGUGGUCGUUCUUUCUCACAAGUGCAUCAAAGGUUUAUGUUGCAUAAAAGGGGAAAAUUUUGAUAUCAUGAAUUUUAAAAAGAACAUAGGCAAAACUGAAAUUUCAACCAUGGCAUAUCUGUCCAAAGACCAUGUUCAAUUGACACCAAAAUGAUUAUCACUUAUAGAAAUACUUCCGAUGAAAUACAACAUUUACUGAAAUCAUCAAUAUGAUUUGAAAUUUUUCCCCUCAAAAUUACCAAAAUAUGAAAGUUGGUCAAGUUUUGGAGUGUCAGAAGGUUUAAGUUGGAUUUCGGUCUUUCAAAACUAUUGUAACUGAGCAAAAUGGUGUUUAACAGUUAACCCGAACCCAACCCUCAAG
This 617-nucleotide unclassified non-coding RNA is filed under the name Hevea brasiliensis (rubber tree). The record is from RNAcentral. Lineage: Eukaryota; Viridiplantae; Streptophyta; Magnoliopsida; Malpighiales; Euphorbiaceae.